AUGGCUGCCACCAUGAAAACGUGCUCUUGUUUAUAAACAAGUGGAUUUCUACACUGAUUUUCGACAGAACAUUUUGCCUGACAUUGAACUAAUAACUCUAUAUUUUUCAAGGUUUCUAUAAGCUUUCUUGGAAUGACUAAUCAAGGGAUGACAUCUUUGACAUGUCUGAGAGAAACAUAGCUUAUAUCUCAUUCUCAAUGUCAAAUCGGCAGCAGCUUGUUUUACUGUUUUGACACACUCACGCCACUCAGGAAGUUUUCAUUAAGACCGGGACAUGCACCUUUGUAUUAACUGUUCCCGUUUUUUACGGCUUACGCAAGCGAUCCCAAAAAAAUUUGGUGCUUCCUCUGUUCCAAGACAUUUUGGUACAAGAAACUUUACAAAUGAUCCAACAUCCCGACCUGACAUACCCACUCAACGCGUGGAGCCGGUGCCUAAACAUCGGUCGUUGUUACACGCAGAAGAUGUGCCCAGCAAGGAAAAGGUCUUGUCCAGUCAUGAGGUGUUGGCGGGGAAAACUGUUACUCGUUCAAGUCAUUACAUCAUUGACAGAGAUAUUGCAAGGGCUAUAGCGACAGCAGUUUAUCAAAACCAGCCAUCCGAGAGUUGUGUCCUUGUCGAGGCAAAUCCUGGGCCAGGGAUAUUGACAAGGGCUUUCUUUGAUGCAGGGUGUCAGCACGUUGUUGCUGUAGAGAGUAAACCAGAAUUCCAGCCAUACAUGCAGGAGAUUGAGAGGACAGUGGGACCAGACAGACUCAAGUAUUUUGACUUUGAUCCUUUCAUCUUGUGGAGGCGGGACAUGAUCACGAACAAGCAUGAUGCCAGGUACAAGGAAGUAGAGAACAGCAUUGCCCAGUACAUAACAUCCAGGCUGCUGACAGAUGUUCCUGUCAGUGUGUUUGGUGUUCUGAGUAAAAACAAGGAGUAUCCCUUCCUCUCCUACCUGUCCAAGACCUUUGCCUUAGGGGAAGGGCUGUUCUCUGUCAGGCCAAGGAACUGGUUCUUGUUUGUGUCUGCUAAAAUGUACCUGCAACUGAAGGUUUGUCGGGGUGACGUUUGGUCGUCCGUCUUCUACAACAAAGUGGCUGUCAUCCUCUACAGUUUCUUUGACUUCAAGUUGGUGAUGGAGCUUGAACACAACAAAUUUGCACCUCCAUUUAGGAAGAAAAUCAGGAAAGUGACCCGGCUGUACCCCGAGUGUGAUGUCAACACAAAGUACCUUGUGCAGCUGUCGGUGAAGCCAAAUGUAGAACAGAUCCUUCCUCCCAGUGAGAUCACCACCUUUGCCAUGUUCCUUAAACAGCUCCUGUUCAGGAGGAAUGACAGAUUCAUCCCCCGAAUGGAACAGCUGAUCCCUGGGUGUGGGCUGCACUUGAUCCAGGCCAGGUUCUCCAUGAUGCAGCUAGUGAUGGACCUGACUCCGGCACAGCUGCUGGAGGUCUUCAAGUCACUUCUCACCUGGCCAGAGUAUCCGGACUCUCCCCUGUCCUUCAUCUUGACAGAGAGGUCAGAGGUCGACAUUGAUGAGGAAGAGGUCAAGGAUAAAUUAAAAGAGGAGGAGGACAAGUUGAAAGAGGAAGAUAUUGCCUUUGAAGGCAGCAGGGUGGUCCGUGGUGGUGACUGAUGCACUGACCUCUACCAAGGUCCUGGAGGUCAGCAGGGUGGUCUGUGGUGGUGAUUGAUGCACCAGCCUCUACCAAGGUCCUUGAGGUCAGCAGGGUGGUCUGUGGUGGUGAUUGAUGUACCAGCCUCUACCAAGGUCCCGGAGGUCAGCAGGGUGGUCUGUGGUGGUGAUUGAUGCACAGCCUCUACCAAGGUCCCGGAGGUCAGCAGGGUGGUCAGUGGUGGUGAUUGAUGUACCAGCCUCUACCAAGGUCCCGGAGGUCAGCAGGGUGGUCUGUGGUGGUGAUUGAUGUACCAGCCUUUACCAAGAUCCUGGAGGUCAGCAGGGUGGUCAGUGGUGGUGAUUGAUGCACCAGCCUCUACCAAGAUCCUGGAGGUCAGCAGGGUGGUCUGUGGUGGUGAUUGAUGCACAGCCUCUACCAAGGUCCCGGAGGUCAGCAGGGUGGUCUGUGGUGGUGAUUGAUGUACCAGCCUCUACCAAGGUCCCGGAGGUCAGCAGGGUGGUCAGUGGUGGUGAUUGAUGUACCAGCCUCUACCAAGGUCCCGGAGGUCAGCAGGGUGGUCUGUGGUGGUGAUUGAUGUACCAGCCUUUACCAAGAUCCUGGAGGUCAGCAGGGUGGUCUGUGGUGGUGAUUGAUGCACCAACCUCUACCAAGAUCCUGGAGGUCAGCAGGGUGGUCCAUGGUGGUGACCGAUGCACCAGCCUUGAACAUCUGCAUGGUGGUCUGUGGUGUUAGAAAAUCUUCGUGGUGUCUGUGGUGGUUACCUAUGUGUCUCACAGUAGUCUAUUUCUGAUGUUUAUGUUGUGAAAAUGAAAGUAAUAUUUCUCAUCAUAUUUUGUAUAGGAGUGAAUAUUUUGAUGAGAAGAUGAUUUCUAUUUCUCAACUGCUGAACACGUAUGUGAUUAUCUCCCUUUGAUCAGUUGAAUCUCAUAAUCUCUUGAGUGGUCAAAGAAUUUCAGCUUAUACCAAAUAUUUAUCUUUCAUGACAAUACAACCGGGACACCCCUGUCCAAGUGUUGACCUGCUGCCCCACUGCAAAUGUAUCACAUGUAGGUCAUUCAGAAGUCUGCUGCUGACAUCAACUCAAUGUGUCUCAUGCACCUAUUGUAAAUGCCUGUUUGAACUCGAUGUACCGCAUAUAUUGAGUACAUUGUAAUUAUUUACUGAACAAUAUCAUACCAACUGAUGAUGAAGUGAAUCCUGGAGCUUAGAUGUGAAACACUUUGGUCCUGUGAAAAAGUGUCGGUCCCUCUAGCGAGUUUGGUUUUACACCACUUUUAACAAUAGUCCAUAGGGAUGCCACGAUACAUCGAUACAUUGAUGCUUCUUCUAAGACUUACAAUUAUCGAUACAUUCAAAA
RNA transcript from Haliotis rubra (blacklip abalone), 2985 nucleotides. It is a transcript of the gene named dimethyladenosine transferase 2, mitochondrial-like, with no coding region annotated. NCBI's taxonomy places the organism in Eukaryota, Metazoa, Mollusca, Gastropoda, Lepetellida, Haliotidae. The record is from RefSeq and is a predicted model, not a curated record. The transcript is spliced from 12 exons.